Molecule: ribosomal RNA, 253 nt
Filed under: uncultured bacterium
Lineage: Bacteria
Description: partial 16S ribosomal RNA
Rfam family: Bacterial small subunit ribosomal RNA
Source: RNAcentral
UACAGAGGGUGCAAGCGUUAUUCGGAAUUACUGGGCGUAAAGAGCGCGUAGGCGGUUUGGUAAGUCUGAUGUGAAAGCCCUGGACUCAAUCCAGGAAGUGCAUCGGAUACUGCUAAACUUGAGUACAGGAGGGGAGAGCGGAAUUCCAGGUGUAGAGGUGAAAUUCGUAGAUAUCUGGAGGAACAACAGUGGCGAAGGCGGCUCUCUGGACUGUUACUGACGCUGAGGCGCGAAAGCGUGGGGAGCAAACAGG